This is a long non-coding RNA of Bos taurus (domestic cattle), 1727 nucleotides long. The record is from Ensembl. Lineage: Eukaryota; Metazoa; Chordata; Mammalia; Artiodactyla; Bovidae.
GAAGUGGUCGCGGUUGACCCUUCCAGCUCCACCUACCGUUGCCAGCCCAUCAGGGUCUUUCCCGCCUUAUCCGCCGCCGGCUCAGCUUCGGUGUUGGUGGGCCGGUCUGCGGGCCACCCCCUCACCAUUCCUGUUGUGGGGCCCACACCAGCAACUCGCAGACUCCUGUUCCCUGUGCAGCCGACGUCUCUGCUGUCCCCACCCCCACCCUGCGGUCCCACUGCCAACAGCGUCUCCUCAGCGCAACGCUCAGCCCGGCGGCCGCCAUCUUCCCCGCAGACAUCACUGCAGGACGAUCACUGUCUGGCACGUCUCUCCUGCCAUGUCUGCCACAGAGGAGCACGACUGGAUCCCAGGUGGCCCGGAUAGAGCUGGUGGCGGGGCGGGCCGCGACCCCAGUCUCCUUGGGGUCCAAGCAUCUGCUUGCGAGGGGACGGAAGGAGUCGAGGUGGCCACGGCUCUUCUGGCUUCCUUGGAGGUCUCCAGAGCCCUUCCCGCGGAGCAGGGUUGGCCACAAGCCCCAGUGGAAGAGGAAUGCGGUAGAGAGCCGUUAGAGGAGUUGGAGAUGGAGGAAGGUGUAGAGAUGCAGGAGGACGAGGAAGAGGGUGAGGCUGACUUCGACUUGGAGGACGUGGAGGAGGAGGAGCACCUGUCUGGAGAGGGCGAGGAAGAGGAGGACGAGAGUGAGCAGGAGGGUGCGGCAGAGGUUACAGGCCUUGGGUUCUGCGUGGAGACGUUUGGGCCCCUGUUCUGGAGUCACGUCGACUCCUUUCUACACAACUUCCGUGACAACAAACAUGUCCUGUUCCGGCCUCCCACUGACCGCCUGAUGGCCAGGGGCCGCUCCCAGCCACCCUCGGACCCUGGAGAAGGUCCGGUGCCUCCUCAGGAGCAGGAAGACCUGGGAGAGGGAGGCAGAGUCUUGCAGGGCCUAGACUCUGCUGCUGAUUUGAAGUUGGGAUAUUUUCCCUGCCAACUUUUGACCCCAAUGUCUGCAUCAUUCUGCCCUAAUGCUGAGGGUGAGGAUCAGUAUGAAAACGCUGAUGAAGACGAAGAGGAUGGAAAUGAAAAACCUGAAGGACUCUGAAUGAAUGUGGUCUCAGCAGAGAGCAGCUCUGGAUAAUACAGCUGCCUGCAGUGUUCUCCAACUAGGAACUAUGGCGUCCAGAGGUGCUGCGAGUCGUUGUAUUCCUACUGCUCCACAGGAUCCUGCUCUUGAAGGGCAACAACUGCAAUACCACCUGGAAACUCCAGUUUGACGUCCAGCCCAGCCUCCUCUGAUGUUCCUGAUGUCAUUCUGGACUUCUUUAAUUGACAAAACCCAGAGCUUAGCCACCUCCUUCUUGAUCCUGAUGAGAACCUGAUGUGAACCAGUGAUUCUGAAACCAUCCUUUAGCCUGUGUUCAUCAUCAUCCAGUAUAAGCCAAGCAAACCACUCUCUGGAGAAAGAGGUGACCUUAUCAGCCAUCCCGGUACUUUGCUCCUCAAAAGGCACCGUGGAACCCAGGAGGUGGACCUAAACCUCUCCUAGACCAGGUCAGAUUGGAGACAAUGGGAACCAUGCUGUUGGCUAUUCACAUUGGUCAGUCCUGCUAAAUGACCACAGAUACCAACACUGAGGCUAGCAACCUUCUCCUGUCUCUUCUACUACAAGCAACACCCAUUCUGGUACAAGUCCCAUUUAUUGAAGCUUGCACUCAAAGAAGUUCGUCUAAGUGACCAAGGAC